AUGAACGCUGGCGGCGUGCCUAAUACAUGCAAGUCGCGCGAACGGACGAGAAGCUUGCUUCUCUGAUGUUAGCGGCGGACGGGUGAGUAACACGUGGAUAACCUACCUAUAAGACUGGGAUAACUUCGGGAAACCGUAGCUAAUACCGGAUAAUAUUUUGAACCGCAUGGUUCAAAAGUGAAAGACGGUCUUGCUGUCACUUAUAGAUGGAUCCGCGCUGCAUUAGCUAGUUGGUAAGGUAACGGCUUACCAAGGCAACGAUGUAUAGCCGACCUGAGAGGGUGAUCGGCCACACUGGAACUGAGACACGGUCCAGACUCCUACGGGAGGCAGCAGUAGGGAAUCUUCCGCAAUGGGCGAAAGCCUGACGGAGCAACGCCGCGUGAGUGAUGAAGGUCUUCGGAUCGUAAAACUCUGUUAUUAGGGAAGAACAUAUGUGUAAGUAACUGUGCACAUCUUGACGGUACCUAAUCAGAAAGCCACGGCUAACUACGUG
This 496-nucleotide ribosomal RNA is filed under the name uncultured bacterium. Its description in RNAcentral is "partial 16S ribosomal RNA". It matches the Rfam family "Bacterial small subunit ribosomal RNA", at positions 29 to 507 of the family's 1533-position model. The record is from RNAcentral.